This 500-nucleotide ribosomal RNA is filed under the name uncultured bacterium. Its description in RNAcentral is "partial 16S ribosomal RNA". It matches the Rfam family "Bacterial small subunit ribosomal RNA", at positions 29 to 523 of the family's 1533-position model. The record is from RNAcentral.
AUUGAACGCUGGCGGCAUGCCUUACACAUGCAAGUCGAACGGCAGCACGGGAGCAAUCCUGGUGGCGAGUGGCGAACGGGCGAGUAAAGUACCGGAACGUGCCCAGUCGUGGGGGAUAACGUAGCGAAAGUUACGCUAAUACCGCAUACGAUCUAUGGAUGAAAGCGGGGGAUCGCAAGACCGCGCGCGAUUGGAGCGGCCGAUAUCAGAUUAGGUAGUUGGUGGGGUAAAGGCCCACCAAGCCGACGAUCUGUAGCUGGGCUGAGAGGACGACCAGCCACACUGGGACUGAGACACGGCCCAGACUCCUACGGGAGGCAGCAGUGGGGAAUUUUGGACAAUGGGCGAAAGCCUGAUCCAGCCAUGCCGCGUGCAGGAUGAAGGCCUUCGGGUUGUAAACUGCUUUUGUACGGAACGAAAAGGACUGCCCUAAUACGGUGGUCCCAUGACGGUACCGUAAGAAUAAGCACCGGCUAACUACGUGCCAGCCGCCGCGGUAA